UGCAGUCGAACGAGUUCUGAUUAUUGAAAGGUGCUUGCAUCUUGAUUUAAUUUUGAACGAGUGGCGGACGGGUGAGUAACACGUGGGUAACCUGCCCUUAAGUGGGGGAUAACAUUUGGAAACAGAUGCUAAUACC
RNAcentral lists this ribosomal RNA (136 nucleotides) under Lacticaseibacillus rhamnosus. RNAcentral's name for it is "Lactobacillus rhamnosus partial 16S ribosomal RNA". It matches the Rfam family "Bacterial small subunit ribosomal RNA", at positions 60 to 170 of the family's 1533-position model. Lineage: Bacteria; Bacillati; Bacillota; Bacilli; Lactobacillales; Lactobacillaceae. The record is from RNAcentral.